ACCGUUUCGAAUAUUUUGGAGUUUAGCUCCCCUGUAUAAUAGACCGAGUUGCCAACUGCUUCUUCUCAGUAUCGGUCGCUCUUUAGACUUUAGUUCAAUUAUAGUUCUGUUUGUUCGUGAAUGUGAUGGAUGUGUUGUCUCCGAAAUUGCCACUAUGGAUGAGAUUUGAUCCACUGGAUGACAAGGUCAUCGACUUCUUCUUGAGGGCAAAGAUCACUGGGAAUGUUGAUUUAAGUCGACUUCAUUCCCGAAGCCCGGAAUGGCAAAUCGGAGUCCUAGGAUUUUGAAAGUAACGUAUAUUCUCCCAUUUCUUGUUAUCAAACACCCAGAUUCGUGUCUUUUUUUUUUUGGCGAUUUGUUGUUGGGAUUUUAUGUCGUUGAUUUUGCUAAUUUUUGUAUGUUUAUUGAACUCUGUUGGAAGAAUUCAUAGCUGGUUAAGUUGAUCAUAUCUGCAGGCUUAACCUUUUGGGAUAACUGUUUGUUUAACUUGCUCUCAAGAUAUUAAAUCGGUGUGAGACCAAUAAAAUAGCACUGCCUCUGUAUGACCAUUUGAUUUUCUCGUUUGGAUCUUGAAUUUUUUCCUUUAUUGUUAUUUGUUUCUUAAUCAUGUCCUGCAUGUUGUGCUCGUGUGUUUUACUCACUUUGGCCCUCAAACUUUGUGCUUAGUCUGGUUUGAUUCAUGUGGCAUAAAGACCAAGUAUGAAGAGUGGUGAUUCUUCUCGCCACUGGAUCUGAAGCAUCGGAGUGGGAAUCGAUCGAGCAGGGCAACCAAUGCUGGGUACUGGAAAGUCAUUGGUCAGGCUAACAAAUCAUGUCUGAUUCGGGAUUGAUUGGAAAGAAAAACUUUCUGGUAUUCUAUAGAGUGCGUUGUCCAGGCAAGAAAACCAAUUGGGUAUUGCAUGAGUAACCCAAAACCCUGAAAGAACUCGAUGGCACGCAUCCCGAUCAGAGCGCCUUUGUACUCUGUCAUUUAUCUUAUAAACAAGAAAAAAAGAGUAUUAAAGACCCAAACUUUAAUGAUGCUGGGCCUGCUGUUUCAUCUCCCGCCACAUCCAAAUCUCGUCUUGAAGAAUCAGAGUCUGAGCUACUUCUGGUCUCGGUAUUCCCAGCAUCAGAAGUGCAAGCUACUACGACAAACAUUGUAGUGAUCAUGCUGCGGAGAAUCACUUGGGAGAACUUACCACUACCGAUGAGAGAAAAGAAUUGAUAAAACAGUUGUUAAUUUUUUUCCGAAAGUUUAGAAGUGCAGUCGAUUAAUUAAGUACUUAUCUUAUCUAUUCAUUUUUUUUUUUUUCAUUAGGAUGAUCUACAACUAGAAGCAUAAAAAAUGACCUUUGAGCUGCAGCAUAUAGUAGUUUGUGAAAUUUUGACACCCUCAACUUCACCACACAAUACCCUUACUACAUGAUCCAUUGACCUUAAUAGAGACCAAAGUGAGAUUCUUUUGACUGAUAAACAUAUUUUGAAUGUACUCACUACGAAAAUCAAGUGUUGAAUGUACUCAUAGCCAUAUGCGGCGGGCUCACUAGCACCAUACUGAAAAUACGUCCAACAAUGAUUGUUGUUCAAGUCAUAGCAUAUGGCUAUGAGUUUUCAAAUUUAACACUUGAUUUUUCUAGUGAGUACAUUCAAAAUAAGUUUCAGUCAAAAGAAUCUUACUUUGUUUUCUAUUAAGGUCAAUGGAUCAUGCAGUAAGGGUAUUGUGUGGUGAAGUUGAGGGUGUCAAAACUUCACAAGCUACAAUUUGCUGCAGCUCAAAGGUCAUUUUUUAUGCUUCUAGUUGCAGAUCAUCUUGAUGAAAAAAAAAUGAAUAGAUAAAGAUAAGUACUUAAUUAAUCAACUGCACUGGCCCGAUGAAAAAAAAAA
Molecule: long non-coding RNA, 1866 nt
Organism: Juglans regia (Persian walnut)
Lineage: Eukaryota; Viridiplantae; Streptophyta; Magnoliopsida; Fagales; Juglandaceae
Exons: 2
Source: RefSeq, a predicted model, not a curated record